AUUCCUUCCUUCCCUUCGACCACCGUCUUAUUUUCUGAAGUUGAUCCCAGUUUUAAUUGAAAUACUCCACUUCUAUUGGUUGUUACUACCGAAUGCAACCCAAGGAGACUCAAGGGAGGACUGAUCUAUAUGUAGGCAGGUGGAUGAAAUCCAAGCCACGAGACAAAGCUAGAUAGGUAUGUCGCACGUUACGGUGAAUUCAGUUACAAUUCAACCAAAUGGAGGCCAAGCGUCCCAUGUGUGGAUCAAUGGAAAGCUUUCAGGAACUAAUUGGUAAAGGGAAGGUACAAUAUAUCGGUGUUUCCAAUGAAACCACGUACGGAGUAAUGCAGUUUGUACAUGCUGCAAAGCUUGAUGGACUUCCAAAGAUUAUGAGCAUCUAGAAUGGUUAUAGUCAACUUGUGAGAUACAGCUUCGAAGGUGAAACAGAGAUGUCAGCCAUAAUUUAUUCAUUUUCAUUCACUGGAAUUCCAUGCCAUCCCUGUUGUUCUGAAACUUAUUUGCAGACAUGUAAUUUAGAGAAAGAGGGAGGAAAGAACUCCUCGGUUGUAGUUCAGAUCAUCGGCCUGCUGUCAUCUCUUUCAUAAUUAAAAUUUUAGUCGAAUAGUUAUGUUUAGUGGUUAUCAUUCAUCAUCAUCAUGAGAUGAUUUUAUUUUGUGGAUGCUUGAGUUUAGAAAAUUUAGGCUCUGCAGUCCAUCAUCUCUAUAGGUAUAAGUCUUUGUAGGAUGUAAGACUGCUACUCUAUGUUCAUAUAAGCCUACCUAUUAAUAAUAUUUCCGAUUUAUUUUAUAAA
Triticum urartu is the source of this 793-nucleotide long non-coding RNA. RefSeq lists it as uncharacterized. The record is from RefSeq and is a predicted model, not a curated record. Lineage: Eukaryota; Viridiplantae; Streptophyta; Magnoliopsida; Poales; Poaceae.